UACGGGGGGGGCAAGCGUUGUUCGGAAUUACUGGGCGUAAAGGGUGCGUAGGCGGCUUUCUAAGUUGGAUGUGAAAACUAUGGGCUCAACCCAUAGCCUGCAUCCAAAACUGGAGAGCUUGGGUUCUGGAGGGGAAAGCGGAAUUCCUGGUGUAGCGGUGAAAUGCGUAGAUAUCGGGAGGAACACCUGUGGCGAAAGCGGCAUACUGGACCACAACUGACGCUGAGGCGCGAAAGCUAGGGGAGCAAACAGG
RNAcentral lists this ribosomal RNA (253 nucleotides) under uncultured prokaryote. RNAcentral describes it as "partial 16S ribosomal RNA". It matches the Rfam family "Bacterial small subunit ribosomal RNA", at positions 524 to 776 of the family's 1533-position model. The record is from RNAcentral.